RNAcentral lists this transfer RNA (64 nucleotides) under Odontocolon albotibiale. RNAcentral's name for it is "tRNA-Leu". The record is from RNAcentral. Lineage: Eukaryota; Metazoa; Arthropoda; Insecta; Hymenoptera; Ichneumonidae.
AUUAUCUUGGCAGAAUAGUGUAAUAAAUUUAGAAUUUAUUUAAGUAGUUAAAUUACAGGUAAUA